This 531-nucleotide ribosomal RNA is filed under the name uncultured Alphaproteobacteria bacterium. RNAcentral describes it as "bacterial SSU rRNA". It matches the Rfam family "Bacterial small subunit ribosomal RNA", at positions 65 to 639 of the family's 1533-position model. The record is from RNAcentral. Lineage: Bacteria; Pseudomonadati; Pseudomonadota; Alphaproteobacteria.
AGCGCCCUGUUUCGGCAGGGAGCGGCGGACGGGCGAGUAACGCGUGGGAACGUGCCCUUUAGUUCAGAAUAGCCACUGGAAACGGUGAGUAAUACUGGAUACGCCCUUCGGGGGAAAGAUUUAUCGCUAAAGGAUCGGCCCGCGUUGGAUUAGCUAGUUGGUGGGGUAAAGGCCUACCAAGGCGACGAUCUAUAGCUGGUCUGAGAGGAUGAUCAGCCACACUGGGACUGAGACACGGCCCAGACUCCUACGGGAGGCAGCAGUGGGGAAUAUUGGACAAUGGGGGCAACCCUGAUCCAGCCAUGCCGCGUGAGUGAAGAAGGCCCUAGGGUUGUAAAGCUCUUUCAGAUGUGAGGAUGAUGACAGUAGCAUCAGAAGAAGCACCGGCUAACUUCGUGCCAGCAGCCGCGGUAAUACGAAGGGUGCUAGCGUUGUUCGGAAUUACUGGGCGUAAAGGGCGUGUAGGCGGAUGAUCAAGCUAGGGGCGAAAGCCCAGGGCCCAACCCUGGAACUGCCUUUUAGAACUGAUUG